GUCUUUUGGCCCAUAUUGUUGUGCUACUGGAUUGUUCUUUUUGCACUUACAAUGAAGCGCCAAAUCAUGCAUAUGAUCAAGUACAAAUAUAUCCCAUUCAAUCUUGGAAAGCAGGUGAGCUUAAGAAUGUUUCAGCUUAUCUUAGAUAUGACGUUGUUCCUAAAAAUGGAGUGUGGUAGUAGUUGAGUCAGCUUGUCUUGUUAAUCUGUUGUUGUUUCUUAUUGGUUACAAUUUUUCUUAUUCUAUAAUAGAAAUACGGUGGGAAAAAAGUAUCUGCCAGUACCGGUAGCAGCCCCCGAGCAGACUGAAGUUCUGCUGGUAAUAUCGCAAAUGAAGUGAAUCCGAAGGAACUUGAAGGAUGAGGUGGGGAGAGGAACACGGAAAAAGAGAUGGAAAGUCGGUUGCAACGUUAAAGAUUCGUCGUUAACGAGUUGUAUUUACAUUAAAACGAACCUGAAUACGGAGUUAAAAACCCUUUUGAAUUGUACACCAUUGUUUUGAUUGUGGCAGCUAGACUGUAUGCACUAGGCAGGAAAAUAGUUAAACAUUGUUCUUGAAAUAUGCUUCAUGGAAGAUUGAAAUUGUCUCUGUUUUCAGCUUUCAAUAUAUUAUCAAAUAAAAUAAUGCAUAUUAAAAC
Molecule: long non-coding RNA, 637 nt
Filed under: Olea europaea subsp. europaea
Lineage: Eukaryota; Viridiplantae; Streptophyta; Magnoliopsida; Lamiales; Oleaceae
Source: RNAcentral